This is a long non-coding RNA of Sus scrofa (pig), 1770 nucleotides long. RefSeq lists it as uncharacterized. NCBI's taxonomy places the organism in Eukaryota, Metazoa, Chordata, Mammalia, Artiodactyla, Suidae. The record is from RefSeq and is a predicted model, not a curated record.
UCAGCUCGAAAAAAGUUAACUGAAAUGAGAGGUGCUUGUAAAAACCCACACCCAAAGAUGGGGGCCACACUUUUAUUACGCUGAAUGACAACGACGUCUUUUUAAAAGCAACUAACUCCCAUAUCCGCGCGCGCGCGCGCGCGCACACGCACACACACACACACACUAGCACACUUGCGCACACAAACCACACAAACUUUAAGCCUUGUGAAACCGCCCAGGUGGUGUUUAAGAAAUUUUGGUAAAGAAAGAAUGGAGGAAGAAGUAUUUGAGGCAGAUUCUAGCUUGCAAGACGUGAGAAAGCUAUAGCCCGGUUUUAUUUAGUUUAGCUUAGUUUUAUUAAAUUUUUAUUUUUAAAUUGCAGCUAGUUUGAAAAUUGGUUUCUGGCAAGAGGAAAGAAAAGCCUGCAGCACUGAAGGAAGAAUCAAAGUGUUAAAAGGACGCUCAAAAUAUAGUACUGUGGCAGGCCGGGGGUGAUGGCCAAAUGUUGUGCAGAAGAGCACUGGACAUUGGUGGGCAGUGGAGGUUGGUAGCUGAAGUCCAUACCCUGCAUCAUUUCUCAGAUGAUUGCCUCUUAGAUACUUUUAUAUAAAAUUCUGGAGUUACCACCAUCAAAAACAACCUGGCCCUUCAGAGGAUUCCCUUCCAGUCUACUCUUGAUUUCUGAUUCUUUCCAAUCUAUGUUAUUAUAGAAUAUUGAACAGAGUUCCCUGUGCUAUCAAGUUGUGCCAGUCUGGAAAAUCAAUGUGGUCAAUCUAGGCCUUGGGGAUGUUGGGUGUGAGAGAUUGAAAUUUUACCUGAAGUGCCUCACAGAGAAAAUGACAUUUAAGUAAGGCUGGAAAGAGAUGGAGAGGGGCGUAAUGCAAACAUCUCAGGAUGGUUUCCAGGCAGAGGCUAAAGCAGAUGCAAACGCCCUGCAGUACAUUCAUUCAUAUCUGAUACAUUCAAGGAAGAAGAAGGCAGCACAGCUGAAGGGGAGGAUUGAGGAUGACAGUAUACAUAGAUGGGAAGCAAAAGCUUGACUGAGACCCUGAUAUCGCCUCUGAGAAAUUUCAUUUCCAACCUCCUGAAACCAAAGCAAUGUUUACCAGUGGGACAAUGGCGGACACGUGCAAGUUCCUGGCACAGAAGAGGAAGAUUAGACACCCAUCUCCCAGUUUUCCUCUGAAAGAGCUCUAUUUGCAUACUUUAAAAGCUGUUAUCUAAGUAUCCCACUUCCAGUUGGUCUGCAUCUAAAUGAUGAAUGAGAUCCUCUCUUUUGGGACACUGACAGGUCUUGGCACACUUGCAAGGACUGGGAGCCCUAAGACAAAGAAGGCUGCUUAGACAAACAUAGAUGUUUAAGAAAAAACAAACAUCUAGGACCUACCAAAACAAUAAUAAGCUUCAUUUCCUGAAGGACACUCCUUCAGGACUAGGAGGGGUGGUUGUUUUAUCUAAUGCACAAAACAAGCAUAGACAGAAAUAAAUAGGUAUAUGUUCCAAAGAAAAAGAUAUAACUCCAGAAACAGAGGCUAAUGAAAAAGUAUUAAAAGUAAUGACCAUAAAGAUGCUUACUGAGGUCAACAGAACAAUGCAUAAAGUGAAAAUUUCAACAAAGAGAUAGAAAACAUAAAGUACCAGACAAAUCACAGAGCUGAAGAAUUAGAGUGGUUCAACAGUAGACUAGAUGAAAUGAAGAAAGGAUUAGUGAACUUCUAAGACAAGGCUGCAGAAUUCAUCCAAUUAGUGUCUCCAGCCCCCCUCAAAAAAAAAAAAAAAAAAAGAAAA